UAUGAAUGAGAUGAUGGAUGA
RNAcentral lists this non-coding RNA (21 nucleotides) under Arabidopsis thaliana (thale cress). Lineage: Eukaryota; Viridiplantae; Streptophyta; Magnoliopsida; Brassicales; Brassicaceae. The record is from RNAcentral.